AUUGAACGCUGGCGGCAUGCCUUACACAUGCAAGUCGAACGGCAGCACGGGAGCAAUCCUGGUGGCGAGUGGCGAACGGGUGAGUAAUAUAUCGGAACGUGCCCAGUCGUGGGGAUAACGUAGCGAAAGCUACGCUAAUACCGCAUACGAUCUAUGGAUGAAAGCGGGGGAUCGCAAGACCUCGCGCGAUUGGAGCGGCCGAUAUCAGAUUAGGUAGUUGGUGAGGUAAAGGCUCGCCAAGCCGACGAUCUGUAGCUGGUCUGAGAGGACGACCAGCCACACUGGGACUGAGACACGGCCCAGACUCCUACGGAGGCAGCAGUGGGGAAUUUUUGGACAAUGGGCGCAAGCCUGAUCCAGCAAUGCCGCGUGCAGGAUGAA
RNAcentral lists this ribosomal RNA (381 nucleotides) under uncultured bacterium. Its description in RNAcentral is "bacterial SSU rRNA". It matches the Rfam family "Bacterial small subunit ribosomal RNA", at positions 30 to 412 of the family's 1533-position model. The record is from RNAcentral.